This 429-nucleotide ribosomal RNA is filed under the name Gemmatimonadota bacterium. Its description in RNAcentral is "Gemmatimonadetes bacterium partial 16S ribosomal RNA". It matches the Rfam family "Bacterial small subunit ribosomal RNA", at positions 355 to 776 of the family's 1533-position model. The record is from RNAcentral. Lineage: Bacteria; Pseudomonadati; Gemmatimonadota.
UAGGGAAUCUUCGGCAAUGGACUAAAGUCUGACCGAGCAACGCCGCGUGAGUGAAGAAGGUUUUCGGAUCGUAAAACUCUGUUGUUAGAGAAGAACAAGGACGUUAGUAACUGAACGUCCCCUGACGGUAUCUAACCAGAAAGCCACGGCUAACUACGUGCCAGCAGCCGCGGUAAUACGUAGGUGGCAAGCGUUGUCCGGAUUUAUUGGGCGUAAAGCGAGCGCAGGCGGUUUCUUAAGUCUGAUGUGAAAGCCCCCGGCUCAACCGGGGAGGGUCAUUGGAAACUGGGAGACUUGAGUGCAGAAGAGGAGAGUGGAAUUCCAUGUGUAGCGGUGAAAUGCGUAGAUAUAUGGAGGAACACCAGUGGCGAAGGCGGCUCUCUGGUCUGUAACUGACGCUGAGGCUCGAAAGCGUGGGGAGCAAACAGG